This is a long non-coding RNA of Lathyrus oleraceus (garden pea), 813 nucleotides long. RefSeq lists it as uncharacterized. The transcript has 2 exons. Lineage: Eukaryota; Viridiplantae; Streptophyta; Magnoliopsida; Fabales; Fabaceae. The record is from RefSeq and is a predicted model, not a curated record.
AGGGGAAGAAGCCCAAUACAAACACAAAUGAGAGAGGGAAGGAGAUACGUGUUCACCAUCAGUUCAAAAGUUCAUGUGUUCAUGUUCAUUCAAGAUUCUCACCCUGCCUCCACCUGAGAAACAAACUCCGUCGCGCCGGAAUUCGCCACUGGCGGCGGUGGAGACCUAAAUCACAUAAAUUCAACACAUAAUCCCUUCGUCCCAACAUCCUACAUCUCAAUCCAAUCCCAAUUACACUCAAUUUCUAACCAAAAUGCCUAACUAAAAUGAAUCAAGCAUGAACCCUAGCUUCGAAAAUCAUAAAUUAAAUCCUUAAAUGGAGGAAUCAAGGCCCCUAGUGUUAGAGAUUUGAUUCCUCAUCUCUCUCCCUACAUGAUGGUAACGAGAACUAUGACUAAAGUUGAAGAACCAAGACCUACAUGCAGGAAAGGAGUGGUUUCUGAGUGCGAGCUGAAAUUCGAAGAUGCAGAUGGAGAUGAAUGCAGGCUGGUCUUGGAUCAUGCUUCAACAUACUAUAGUGAAACUUGGAUAACAAGGCAUGGCUUGGAGAAACAUGGGUAGCUUGCAAACAAGGGAAGUUUGCCCAUGAAGUUAAAAGAGAAGAUGGAGAAUGAAGAAUCAAAGUAGACAUCAACAACUAGGGCUAGGGUUUAGAUGAGUUGACUUUGGUCAAAUGGUUGACCAGAAAGUCAACAGUUGUCCAAAGUCAAUUGUAGGUCAAAAUCAAGUUUUUUUUGUAAAUUUUUGUAUGAAUUAUUUGUAAAUGGUUAAUAAUUUCGAAUGAAAAAUAGUCCUUUAUGAUUCAAUGCAAAA